AGGGUGCACAGCCUUCACAGUGGGGCACCUGUCCCACUCCUUGACUGCCCUCAUGUGAAAAGUUUGUGUUGUAUAAGGAGGAUGUGCACAUAACCUAAGGAGGAUGUGUACAUGACCAGUCUGAACCUCUCUUGUUCCACAGGACGACCAUUGCUGCUCAUUCUCCUGCUGUGUUCCACUGCAAAAACCCAAGUCUGACUUCCCCAUCAAUUCCUUUCAAAAGCCUCCUGAGCACACCCAUGGUUGCUCACACUGCCCAGACAGCCCUCCCUUUCCUCUCUGCCAGAUGAUGGGCCCAUCUGCCCAACUCCCUUGAGACCAACUUUGUUUUCCCCCUUGGCUUUUUCAGAAGCUGUUUUUCAGACCAUUUCUGCUGGGGAAGAAGAGGAGAUCACAGAGGAACUGGUAACAUCACUUCUGUGAUGUUCCUCUCCCAGCUGACUCAGCUGUCUGGGAGAGAGCCUAGCAAUUAUCUCCAGUAGGCCUCUGCUCAUCUGAUUGACUUGCCUUUGCUUUCAUGCCUGGCACUUCAAACAUCAGGGACAGCGAGGCAGGGGGAAGAUUUUCCUAAUGGAAUGAAAAAAGUGCUCCCAAAAUUACAGCUGCCUCAUCUGGAAAGCAGAGCAUGUCUCAGCCUGCCCACUGCACUCAGCCUCCAGGUUAUCACCCACACGCCCAGGCCCAACAGCACCGGCAGUAAAAAAUCAUUUGUAAACAAUUAAUUGUGGAAGUGGAAGAGAUAGCACCCCCAUCAAUCACUGAAAGGCAGCAUGGAAUAUGACCUCAGAAGGUGAAAUCCACUCUUGGAGGUUCCUGUGAGGUGUGGAGAGGGAUGUGACACAUCCUCAAAAGCCUGGGAUCCUACUCUUGCCGCUGACUCCCAGCAUGUCCUUUAACGGGUUUGUGCCUCAGUUUCUCCACUGUUUCACCUGGCAAUGGCUGCCACUAUGCAGGAGGAGAGUAUCCAGCACAACAGCCCCUGGAUCUGCAGCUACCCAAAUAAAACAGGCCUGGUUCUGGUCGCUGGCAGUGGCCAUGGUACGGCCCACAUCCGAGGGGCAAGCCAAAAGCUCUCCUCAGAGCCAGGUGACUUCAUCCAUAUUGUCACACGGGAAGGUGUCCUGGCCUGCCUGUCCCCAUGGCUGGGCCAAGUCACUGGCCAGAGGGUGUUAACUGGGAGCGUGCUAGUGAUGGAAGAGGGCAGAGCACUGUGGCCAGUGCCCUGGCUCUCCCCGGCCUGGUGUAGAUAUGGGCACCAUGGCCCUCCUGGGGCAGUCUCUGCUCCCUGGGGUGAGCAGGAGGUUCCUGUCUGUCCCCGCUGUUCAGCUGCAGCUCAGGCUGCAGGUGUCCAACUUGGGCUCAGGAGGAGCUACGUGGAAAGCAGCUCUGAGGGAAAUGGUUUCAGCAUGGCUGUGUUCAGCCUCUCCCACACCACCUGGGCAUCUCUGUGGGAUGGUGGCUGCUCUCCAAGGGAAUUCCUGCUCUAGCAGAGUGCGGGUACUGCCUAGGAGAUGACAGCUGCUGCUGGGGCAGAGCCACACACCCACAUGCUGUCUGAAUAAUGAAAACAAAAAAUGCCUCGCUCCCACUGGAUGCUGUUUUAUUGCCUGACUGGUGGUUGCUGCCAUGUGAGUCACUUCCAGGGGAGGCCACAAGGCACUUCUGUUGCAAAAAGAAGAAAUGAUGCAGAGCCCGAGCUGCUGUGCACUUGGGAAAGCAGAUCAAUACAUGAUCAGCAGAUCAAUCACUGUCCUGGGCAAGGGAAUUCUAGCUGGAAAGGCUCUCCUGCUUUUUCUGGGUCAUUAGGAGAGCCCCCUAUUCUAAAGCAGGGCCUCCAUCUAACAACAGCGCUCUACUUGAUUAAUGCUGAUUAGCCCUGCUUUGCUUGGUACGUUGAUUAAAAAGCAAGGUUCAUUUCCCAGGUUUCCUUCCCAAUCACAUUCCCUAAUUUCUUUUGGCACUGCCACAACCUCUUAAUUCUUCAGUCCUUCAAGCAGCUCAUCAGACAAGGACGAUGCUGAGGCAGUAGCAGACAAAGGUCAGAUGUGGGUUAUAUCCAAAGGGAAGCUCUCUCCUGGGCUGUGUAGUGGGCUGGCUAGUGGCAUUGUCACCUUAAAAUGUUGCUCAUGACAACUGUGAAGGCAGAUAAAAACCCAUCACCACUCAGGAUGUUCCUACAUACUGUUCUCCUCAGACAUAUCUGCUUGAUUCCCAGCAACUGUAGAAGCAAAGGGCCCCAUAUUGCCUUUUCUUCAAAUUAUCAGCCAAAUUGCUGUAGAAAUGGCUUUAUGGCUUAGCCCAAUGGCUGGCCCACCCAGCUUGUUCAGUGGCUGCAGCAGAUGUGAAGAAAUCCAGGGAAUCAGGGCACAUACAAAGUGGUCUUGGCCCACUCUUCCCAUCUUUGGUGGUCUGUGAUUCAAGGGUCUUCAUCAGUUCAAAGCCAUACUCAGCUUAUGGGGUUUAACAUCCACCAAUGCAUUGUCAAUCACAAUCCAUGGAAGUGCAAAAGGGACUUGCUUUUAUCUGUAUCAAAUCUACUGCUUGCCUGCUUUCAGAAACACCUAGUUAAGAGGAAAGAGCAGCAAUCCUUCUCUCACAGCUCCCUACUGUCCAUGAUAUGAGAGGUCUCUGUCAUUGUCCCUUUAGGCAUUUCUUGUUCUAGCCAGGGGGUCCUCCCUUCACACAGAACCAAUUUUGAAGCUUAUUGGAAGUUGUUUCAAUAAAACAACCAGGGCUCAAGAAAACAAACAUCCCCAUUACUGCCUCUUUCACAAUAAGAAAGUGGAAAUCCAGAUUAAUCUUUAAAACACAACCAAGUAAAUAACAAUUUGAAGCAGAGAGCAAUGAGUUAAUCUCACAUCUGAAUAUUCACUGCUAUUAAGAUGAAGACUUGCCUCCUUCAGCUCUUAUGUAAAUAGAACUCAUCUGCGAUGCAGAUUUUAUUAAUUAACUGGCAAAUCGAGAAAACCCCAAUAGGCUGUAAUUGAACUUCGUGUUGAUGAUAGAUGAGGAGACACUCACAGGCCAUCAGCUGUGUCUGCACAGUCACUCCUGGAUCUGCUGCCAUCCCUGCCCAUCCUCACAGCAGAGGGGCUGCCCCAUCCUGAGCAAAAUGAAGAAUAUCUGAGGGGCAAACGCCUGGAGCUGAUGGGAUGCCUGGAGUUGAUGAGAUACCUGGCACAUAUUCUUCCUGAAGCACCCUCUGGCUCAUCACAUUGCUUUUGUUCAUAUUUUCUGCAGCACCCAGAUGCUCUCAGGAGGCAGGCAGUAGCUGCUGAAGCUCCAGCAGGAGUGAGGAUGCUCAUAGCUUUGAGGGGACAUAAUCACCCCUAACAUGAAGAGGAGACAUUUGUUGAUGCUGUGGCGAGCUGGUCUGCUCAGAUGUCACCAGGAGUCCCAGAGGAACAGUGAGGCAGCUGCAAGGAGCCCACCCUCAGAGCUGCUGAAGCCUGGGUUCUUCUCAGCGCGGGAAGAGGAAGUGGCAUUUGAGGCACUGAGAUGUGAGAAGAGUUUCAUUAUUGCUCUGGAUGGCCCCUUCAUUAGAGGAAAACACAGUAUUUAAUGAAGGGGAAAGAAAACUGGAGCUCCCUGCUGCGUCCAGAAAGCCAUCUCUUUUCAGCUUUGCUUCUCUCCCUUUAUUUAUGGGACUGAGGGAGGCUGGACCUGUCUAUUCCUGUAGCAGCCCAUCCUUGGGUCUCCAAGGGAUGCUCCAAGACCACGCAAGUGAAGAUCUCCCUGCAGACAGGGACCCAUGAGCACAGUCCCUUAUGGACUCCCCAGCUUUGUGAUAACUCUCUGUGCCCACACCCCGGUGGGCAGAGGCUGCUGGCCAUGGGUGCAGAUAUGGGAUACCAAGGUCUACCCCCCACCAACCACACCCAUACCCCCCAGGAACUCUACACCAGAAAUUUAGUGCCAUUAAGGAGAAACUGAGGCACAGGGGAUGUGUUACACACACCUAUACAGACCAUGCUUGAUUAAAAGGCAGAGGGCAUGCUUUCCCCAUGGCUUCCUUGCAAAGUGUGUUCAGAUUACCAGGGAAGGACUUGGUUUCUCAUGACUGGCUUAACAAACCCAACAUGGGAUUCACACAUCAAGCUAAUUCUUCCCAGCUGGCACCAAUUAUUUGCCAAGGUAGUUUUGAUCUCUCAAUUACACCCCAUGAAGUUUUCAGCAUGGAAAAGCAGAAUAUCUUUUCUUUCUCUUUCUCCUCUCCUAAUAAUUGGGGUUUUUUAUAGCAACAUGUCAACAGACAUCAGGAGUAGAACCGACUCACAUUCCCUUUGCUGGGACAACUCUAGCUCUGCUAGGAAUUGAGAUAAAAGGAAGCUUGCUUUCAUCCCAGCAUAAGCAGGCAAGAAGUGGAGCAUGAACAGAGAGAAGACAAGCAGAGAAGCAAGCACUGUGAUUUUAUUCUGAGUCUCUGCACCUAAAGCUGUCCUUAAUCACCACUCAUGACUCAUAGCCUUUUCUUUCACUGGGAGCUCCAGACAGGGUAAUUUGGUUUCAGAGGAGCAGAGGCACAUUGGCUGCAAGGGACCUCUGGAUGUCUCCCAUUCAACCACUCAUAAUUUGCUCUUGGAAUUUUCUUGGGUCCCCUCAUGACCUGUCCUGUUCCCAAAGUGAUGAGCUUUGAAUGUGUCCUGAGGUGAGAAAGCUUCCUGCAGCAGAGAACAUGUUGGAGGAAGAAGAGUUAGUUUCAACAGUUGCCUACUCUUUUGGCUGCUCUGGAAAAUUUCCCAGUCCCCUUCACCAAGUCAGCUGUGCCAGGAGAUGGACUCUGGGACCUGUGUGGGUCAGGGUUCUUGGAAGACAGCGGGAGGAGGGGAUCCAUAGGAUCUCAGGAAACUGAGAAAAACAAAAGGACAGGGGACAGAGCUUGCAGGAAGCAGAGAGGUUCAGGAUAAGGUCAGGAGCUGGAGAGGGGCUGUGUGAGUGAAGGCUGGAUAACCACAGACUCGGACCAUCAAGCCCAGCCAUCAUCUGACAUUAAUCAUUUUUUCCUGCUUGAUUCUCAGCUGCAGCUGGAAGCUGAACUGAGGUUUGACUGGAACCAGGAUCAGAAUCUGCCUGCUCUGCCUGCUUCAGAGACAAACUCCUUAAUCCUGGGCCUUCCUGCAUUAUUUACAGAGACCACAGCCCCUUUCACUACCAUCACCAAGACAUUCCAGUGAUUUCCAAGCAAAGGAACAAGUUUCCUGUAAAUUGCAUUUCCGGCAAGCAUCUCUGCUAAUUAAAGAUUAUGAAAUGAAUUUA
Long non-coding RNA from Passer domesticus (house sparrow), 5256 nucleotides. RefSeq lists it as uncharacterized. The record is from RefSeq and is a predicted model, not a curated record. Lineage: Eukaryota; Metazoa; Chordata; Aves; Passeriformes; Passeridae. The transcript has 2 exons.